Molecule: transfer RNA, 74 nt
Filed under: Methanosarcinales archaeon
Lineage: Archaea; Methanobacteriati; Methanobacteriota; Methanomicrobia; Methanosarcinales
Also listed under: 1 other name
Description: tRNA-Lys
Rfam family: tRNA
About the family: Transfer RNA (tRNA) molecules are approximately 80 nucleotides in length. Their secondary structure includes four short double-helical elements and three loops (D, anti-codon, and T loops).
Source: RNAcentral
GGGCCGGUAGCUCAGAACGGUAGAGCAGCAGGCUCUUAACCUGCCAGUCGGGGGUUCAAAUCCCUCCCGGCCCG